RNAcentral lists this ribosomal RNA (496 nucleotides) under uncultured bacterium. Its description in RNAcentral is "partial 16S ribosomal RNA". It matches the Rfam family "Bacterial small subunit ribosomal RNA", at positions 28 to 507 of the family's 1533-position model. The record is from RNAcentral.
GAUGAACGCUGGCGGCGUGCCUAAUACAUGCAAGUCGAGCGAACAGAUAAGGAGCUUGCUCCUUUGACGUUAGCGGCGGACGGGUGAGUAACACGUGGGUAACCUACCUAUAAGACUGGAAUAACUCCGGGAAACCGGGGCUAAUGCCGGAUAACAUUUAGAACCGCAUGGUUCUAAAGUGAAAGAUGGUUUACUUUCAUCUAUUAGAGGACCCGCGGCGUAUUAGCUAGUUGGUAAGGUAACGGCUUACCCAGGGCACGAUAAGUAGCCGACCUGAGAGGGUGAUCGGCCACACUGGAACUGAGACACGGUCCAGACUCCUACGGGAGGCAGCAGUAGGGAAUCUUCCGCAGUGGGCGAAAGCCUGACGGAGCAACGCCGCGUGAGUGAUGAAGGUCUUCGGAUCGUAAAACUCUGUUAUUAGGGAAGAACAAAUGUGUAAGUAACUGUGCACGUCUUGACGGUACCUAAUCAGAAAGCCACGGCUAACUACGUG